Molecule: ribosomal RNA, 222 nt
Filed under: Metamycoplasma alkalescens
Lineage: Bacteria; Bacillati; Mycoplasmatota; Mycoplasmoidales; Metamycoplasmataceae
Description: Mycoplasma alkalescens partial 16S ribosomal RNA
Rfam family: Bacterial small subunit ribosomal RNA
Source: RNAcentral
UGGGGAGCAAACAGGAUUAGAUACCCUGGUAGUCCACGCCGUAAACGAUGAUAUUUAGUCGGUGGAGAAUUCACUGACGCAGCUAACGCAUUAAAUGAUCCGCCUGAGUAGUAUGCUCGCAAGAGUAAAACUUAAAGGAAUUGACGGGGACCCGCACAAGCGGUGGAGCAUGUGGUUUAAUUUGAAGAUACGCGGAGAACCUUACCCACUCUUGACAUCCUU